UACGUAGGGUGCGAGCGUUAAUCGGAAUUACUGGGCGUAAAGCGUGCGCAGGCGGCUUUGCAAGACAGAUGUGAAAUCCCCGGGCUCAACCUGGGAACUGCAUUUGUGACUGUAUAGCUAGAGUACGGCAGAGGGGGAUGGAAUUCCGCGUGUAGCAGUGAAAUGCGUAGAUAUGCGGAGGAACACCGAUGGCGAAGGCAAUCCCCUGGGCCUGUACUGACGCUCAUGCACGAAAGCGUGGGGAGCGAACAGG
Molecule: ribosomal RNA, 253 nt
Filed under: uncultured bacterium
Lineage: Bacteria
Description: partial 16S ribosomal RNA
Rfam family: Bacterial small subunit ribosomal RNA
Source: RNAcentral